Molecule: ribosomal RNA, 396 nt
Filed under: uncultured bacterium
Lineage: Bacteria
Description: partial 16S ribosomal RNA
Rfam family: Bacterial small subunit ribosomal RNA
Source: RNAcentral
AUACGUAGGCGCCAAGCGUUAUCCGGAUUUACUGGGCGUAAAGGGCGUGUAGGCGGUCUUGCAAGUCAGAAGUGAAAUUCCUGAGCUCAACUCGGGCGCUGCUUCUGAAACUGCAGGACUUGAGUGCUGGAGGGGAUAGCGGAAUUCCUAGUGGAGCGGUAAAAUGCGCAGAUAUUAGGAAGAACACCGGUGGCGAAGGCGACUUUCUGGGCAGGAACUGACGCGGGGCCGCGAAUGCGUGGGGAGCAAACUGGAUUAGAUACCCUGGUAGUCCAUGCCGUAAGCGAUGAAUACUAGGUGUGGGGGGACUGACCCCCUCCGUGCCGCAGUUAACACAAUAAGUAUGCCGCCUGGGGAGUACGAUCGCAAGAUUGAAACUUAAAUGAAUUGACGGGG